Molecule: RNase P RNA, 384 nt
Filed under: Pseudomonadota bacterium
Lineage: Bacteria; Pseudomonadati; Pseudomonadota
Also listed under: 1 other name
Description: RNase P RNA component class A
Rfam family: Bacterial RNase P class A
About the family: Ribonuclease P (RNase P) is a ubiquitous endoribonuclease, found in archaea, bacteria and eukarya as well as chloroplasts and mitochondria.
Source: RNAcentral
UGAGCUUGAAUUGACUGAUCAGCCUUUUGGUUGGUAGGAAAGUCCGGACACCCCAAAUUUUGAAAACAAAUUUUGGACAAAGAUAGUUGAUAACGUCAACCCAUUUCCGGGCGAUCGGAAUUGCGGGAUAGCGCCACAGAGACAAUACUAGUUUCAAUAUCAUAAUUGGAACGAAAGGUGAAAAGUGAAUGAAAGUUCAAUUUUGGGUCAAACCAAUCUUGAGCUAUCAUUCUCAACUGUCAGUGAUGGCAGUUAGUGGCAAGCCCUAUCUGGUGCAAGGCCGUGUCUUCGCCUUUGGCGGAGAAGUGCCGCUAGAGCCAAAAAGUGAUUUUUGGCCAAGAUUAAUGGUCAUUUAAACAGAAUCCGGCUUACCAAGCUCAGUCC